GCGCCUGUAGCUCAAUAGGAUAGAGCAACGGACUUCUAAUCCGUAGGUUGGGGGUUCGAUUCCUCCCGGGCGCG
This 74-nucleotide transfer RNA is filed under the name Armatimonadota bacterium. RNAcentral describes it as "tRNA-Arg". It matches the Rfam family "tRNA". Rfam says of the family: Transfer RNA (tRNA) molecules are approximately 80 nucleotides in length. Their secondary structure includes four short double-helical elements and three loops (D, anti-codon, and T loops). Further hydrogen bonds mediate the characteristic L-shaped molecular structure. tRNAs have two regions of fundamental functional importance: the anti-codon, which is responsible for specific mRNA codon recognition, and the 3' end, to which the tRNAs corresponding amino acid is attached (by aminoacyl-tRNA synthetases). tRNAs cope with the degeneracy of the genetic code in two manners: having more than one tRNA (with a specific anti-codon) for a particular amino acid; and 'wobble' base-pairing, i.e. permitting non-standard base-pairing at the 3rd anti-codon position. The record is from RNAcentral. Lineage: Bacteria; Bacillati; Armatimonadota.